RNAcentral lists this transfer RNA (63 nucleotides) under human gut metagenome. It matches the Rfam family "tRNA", at positions 5 to 63 of the family's 71-position model. Rfam says of the family: Transfer RNA (tRNA) molecules are approximately 80 nucleotides in length. Their secondary structure includes four short double-helical elements and three loops (D, anti-codon, and T loops). Further hydrogen bonds mediate the characteristic L-shaped molecular structure. tRNAs have two regions of fundamental functional importance: the anti-codon, which is responsible for specific mRNA codon recognition, and the 3' end, to which the tRNAs corresponding amino acid is attached (by aminoacyl-tRNA synthetases). tRNAs cope with the degeneracy of the genetic code in two manners: having more than one tRNA (with a specific anti-codon) for a particular amino acid; and 'wobble' base-pairing, i.e. permitting non-standard base-pairing at the 3rd anti-codon position. The record is from RNAcentral. RNAcentral also lists the same sequence under 1 other name.
CAAUGUGGCUCAGUAGGUAGAGCGGCGCACUCGUAAUGCGCAGGUCUGGGGUUCGAAUCCCCA